This 72-nucleotide transfer RNA is filed under the name Loxodonta africana (African savanna elephant). It matches the Rfam family "tRNA". From Rfam's summary of the family: Transfer RNA (tRNA) molecules are approximately 80 nucleotides in length. Their secondary structure includes four short double-helical elements and three loops (D, anti-codon, and T loops). Further hydrogen bonds mediate the characteristic L-shaped molecular structure. tRNAs have two regions of fundamental functional importance: the anti-codon, which is responsible for specific mRNA codon recognition, and the 3' end, to which the tRNAs corresponding amino acid is attached (by aminoacyl-tRNA synthetases). tRNAs cope with the degeneracy of the genetic code in two manners: having more than one tRNA (with a specific anti-codon) for a particular amino acid; and 'wobble' base-pairing, i.e. permitting non-standard base-pairing at the 3rd anti-codon position. The record is from Rfam by way of RNAcentral. Lineage: Eukaryota; Metazoa; Chordata; Mammalia; Proboscidea; Elephantidae.
GCUGUGGUGGUUCAGUGGUAGAAUUCUCCCCUUCCAUGGUGAGAGACCUGGGUUCGAUUCCUGGCCAAUGCA